Long non-coding RNA from Saimiri boliviensis boliviensis (Bolivian squirrel monkey), 639 nucleotides. RefSeq lists it as uncharacterized. The record is from RefSeq and is a predicted model, not a curated record. Lineage: Eukaryota; Metazoa; Chordata; Mammalia; Primates; Cebidae.
GGUGGCAGUCCCAGAUGGAAAGCUGAGAGGACAGAGUCCUGUGCUUUCUCUCCAUGAGACCCAGCUCCUCCACAUCUGGCUGCUGCCCCCGACGGACUUUCCAGGACACCAUCUCCCACUGUUUGAUCUUUUGAGCUGAGUAAGCCCCAGGAUAGGAGGUGAGAAAACUGAGACCCAGAAAGCUUCAGCAACUCACCCAAGGUCAUGUGGUUGUGAAACUUCCAGACCUACUGGAGUGCCUCCUCCCGCAAGAAGUCUGCUCUGGGCCUGCUGCAUUGUCACUGGAUAAGAUUUCUUCCUCUAUUUCCUCAUCCUGACUUCCAGAACAGUUCCCUGGACUUUCCUUGUCUACAGCACUUACCACCGUGUAUCCAAAUGUUUACAGUCUCUUGUGGCCCUGUGCCUCCAUGUAAGAGCUCCAUCCGUCACGAUGCUAUCAUCAAGGCAGGCAGAAGGUUCUGGAGGAGAAGAUGCUAUGUGAAGAAAGAGCCAAGACGCACCAAAAUGCCAAACGGUGAAGACACCAUCUUGGAAGGGACCCUCCAGUCCCAGCGUUGCUCCUGGUUGACACCAAGUGGCCCAACUGAGCCCUUCUCAAAUUCCCGGCCCACAACAUGGUGAGCAAAAUAAAAUGGUUGU